Chelonoidis abingdonii (Abingdon island giant tortoise) is the source of this 103-nucleotide non-coding RNA. The record is from RefSeq and is a predicted model, not a curated record. NCBI's taxonomy places the organism in Eukaryota, Metazoa, Chordata, Testudines, Testudinidae.
UACAAAAGAAGGCAUGGGCAGAGUCUCUGACUCUACCGGACCUUGCCCAACUCGGGACCGGGGACCAGUACCGGAAGGCGUACCGGUACCUGGAACAAGAUCC